GAGGUCCCAAGCGUUGUUCGGAUUCACUGGGCGUAAAGGGUGCGUAGGUGGCCAGGUAAGUUCGGUGUGAAAGCUCGGAGCUUAACUCCGAAAUGUCAUUGAAUACUAUCUGGCUUGAGGGUCGGAGGGGAGACUGGAAUUCUCGGUGUAGCAGUGAAAUGCGUAGAUAUCGAGAGGAACACCAGUGGCGAAGGCGAGUCUCUGGACGACUCCUGACACUGAGGCACGAAAGCUAGGGGAGCAAACAGG
This 249-nucleotide ribosomal RNA is filed under the name uncultured bacterium. Its description in RNAcentral is "partial 16S ribosomal RNA". It matches the Rfam family "Bacterial small subunit ribosomal RNA", at positions 528 to 776 of the family's 1533-position model. The record is from RNAcentral.